GGAAUAUUGGUCAAUGGGAGGAAUCCUGAACCAGCCAUGCCGCGUGCGGGAGGAAGGCCCUACGGGUCGUAAACCGCUUUUGCCCGGGGAUAGUGCGCGUCACGAGUGGCGCGAGGGAAGGUACCGGGCGAAUAAGCAUCGGCUAACUCCGUGCCAGCAGCCGCGGUAAUACGGAGGAUGCGAGCGUUAUCCGGAUUUAUUGGGUUUAAAGGGUGCGCAGGCGGACCGGUAAGUCAGCGGUGAAAUCCACACGCCCAACGUGUGAAGUGCCGUUGAUACUGGCGGACUGGUAGGCCGGGGGCGCGGCCGGAAUGUGUCGUGUAGCGGUGAAAUGCAUAGAUAUGACACAGAACGCCGAUCGUGAAGACAGGUCGCGAACCGGAGAUAGACGCUCAAGCACGAAAGCGUGGGGAUCAAACA
RNAcentral lists this ribosomal RNA (420 nucleotides) under uncultured bacterium. RNAcentral's name for it is "bacterial SSU rRNA". It matches the Rfam family "Bacterial small subunit ribosomal RNA", at positions 358 to 774 of the family's 1533-position model. The record is from RNAcentral.